AGGGCCGUAUUUUUUUUAAAAAAAUAUUAAAAUUAUCGAGUAAUGGCGUAAAUUGUGAAAAUUUGAAUAAUGGCAUGGUUACUUGAUUGGGUUAAUGUGAUAUCAUUAUUUGUAAGAGGGAACAAGUGUUAUUAGUGUGUGUGUGUGUAUACAAGUGUGGGUGGGUAGUAUGGAAUAAUUUUUCCUCUUUCUUUUUCUAUGUCAGCCGACACACACAUAUCAUCUCUCCCUCUCUCUCUAACUCUCAUCCGGCUCUCUCGCCUCUCACCCCUCCAUCAACUUCUCUCCUAAAUUUCAUCUUCUUAGAGUAAGAUUCCAGACAAAGUCCGAGAAUUAAAGUUGUUCUACGGAGCACGGGCUUUCCGAAUAUCCAAGAAAAAUCAUGAUCGGACCACGUGGGAGUUCGGUUGACUUGGUCAAAGGUUCGGAUUUUGCUCAAAACCCAUGAGGUACACUACAGAGACACAGUCUUGGAGGGUGUGAAGUGCAUGCAGACAUCACAGACUAAAGUUGUUUUCUGAAGUACUUGUCUUUCAUCGUAAAUUAAAUUGUAUUGUACUAUUUUCUCUAUUUUAGAAUACUAUAUCAAUUGACGGAUUUGUGAGAUUCAGAAACUGUAUUGUAAUUUGGGGUACCGUAUGUACUGUUGUGAGGACUUGUAUUUAAAAUGGUAUUUUAUUUAUGUUAAAAA
Rhododendron vialii is the source of this 691-nucleotide long non-coding RNA. RefSeq lists it as uncharacterized. NCBI's taxonomy places the organism in Eukaryota, Viridiplantae, Streptophyta, Magnoliopsida, Ericales, Ericaceae. The record is from RefSeq and is a predicted model, not a curated record. The transcript is spliced from 2 exons.